UAGGGAAGAAGGCAAUAAUGCAAAUAGUAUUAUUGAUUGACGUUACCUAUAGAAUAAGCACCGGCUAACUCCGUGCCAGCAGCCGCGGUAAUACGGAGGGUGCGAGCGUUAAUCGGAAUUACUGGGCGUAAAGAGUACGUAGGCGGUUUAUUAAGUCAGAUGUGAAAGCCCUAGGCUUAACCUGGGAACUGCAUUUGAAACUGGUAAGCUAGAGUUUUGUAGAGGGGGGUAGAAUUCCAGGUGUAGCGGUGAAAUGCGUAGAGAUCUGGAGGAAUACCAGUGGCGAAGGCGGCCCCCUGGACAAAAACUGACGCUCAGGUACGAAAGCGUGGGGAGCAAACAGGAUUAGAUACCCUGGUAGUCCACGCUGUAAACGAUGUCGAUUUGAAGGUUGUGACCUUUGAGUUGUGGCUUUCGUAGUUAACGCGUUAAAUCGACCGCCUGGGGAGUACGGCCGCAAGGUUAAAACUCAAAUGAAUUGACGGGGGCCCGCACAAGCGGUGGAGCAUGUGGUUUAAUUCGAUGCAACGCGAAGAACCUUACCUACUCUUGACAUCCAGAGGACUAUGUAGAGAUAUAUGGGUGCCUUCGGGAACUCUGAGACAGGUGCUGCAUGGCUGUCGUCAGCUCGUGUUGUGAAAUGUUGGGUUAAGUCCCGCAACGAGCGCAACCCUUAUCCUUUGUUGCCAGCGAUUUGGUCGGGAACUCAAAGGAGACUGCCGAUGAUAAAUCGGAGGAAGGUGAGGAUGACGUCAAGU
Molecule: ribosomal RNA, 758 nt
Filed under: Blochmannia endosymbiont of Camponotus (Colobopsis) sp. 262
Lineage: Bacteria; Pseudomonadati; Pseudomonadota; Gammaproteobacteria; Enterobacterales; Enterobacteriaceae
Description: bacterial SSU rRNA
Rfam family: Bacterial small subunit ribosomal RNA
Source: RNAcentral